Gossypium arboreum is the source of this 571-nucleotide long non-coding RNA. RefSeq lists it as uncharacterized. NCBI's taxonomy places the organism in Eukaryota, Viridiplantae, Streptophyta, Magnoliopsida, Malvales, Malvaceae. The transcript is spliced from 2 exons. The record is from RefSeq and is a predicted model, not a curated record.
AUUUUUAAUCCAAAAUUUCAAGAAUCUGAAUGGCAAUCUGCCAUUUUUCAAGCCAAAAACCGAGUGCCCAUUUGCUAGGGUUUCGACGCAGCAGCUUUGAGGCUUUUCCAUCCCUUUUUGUCCAUUCAACCGCCACCAUUCCACCAUUGAAAUCGAUGGAUGAUAGCUCGCAAUGAAAUCAUUCCAUUUCCCAAUUCUAAACCUCACCUCAGAAGGUCAGAUUUUAGCCUCAAAAACCUAUCUCAAGCUUCGAUUUCAACGAAGAAGAUACGGCCUUCGAUGGCUCAUUUGAAGGUAUGGAGGCCAGUUGGCGUGGUGGUACGUGGCACUCGGCGUAAGGCGUAUGGAGGCGCGCAUGACAGUCGUACGGUGCUGAAGGUUGGGGCUUGGCUGUGGCGCAAGGGGGAGAAACCCUAGGGUUUCUGUUUCUAACAUAUUUUGGGCCAUUUGGGCCUCAAAUUUUUGGGUUGUAAUUGGGUUAAUUUGGGCCCGAUGUACUGGUUUUGGGUCUGUAAUGGGUUAUGGACUUUGGACUUUGGACUUGGCCUUAAUUAUUUAUUAGUUUGGUUUA